GACGAACGCUGGCGGCGUGCUUAACACAUGCAAGUCGAACGGAAAGGCCCUGCUUUUGUGGGGUGCUCGAUUUGCGAACGGGUGAGUAACACGUGUGUAACCUGCCCUUUACUUUGGUAUAACUUCAGGAAACUGGGUCUAAUACCUGAUAGGAUCUCCUGCUGCAUGGUGGGGGUUGGAAAGUUUCGGCGGUUGGGGAUGGACUCGCGGCUUAUCAGCUUGUUGGUGGGGUAGUGGCUUACCAAGGCUUUGACGGGUAGCCGGCAUGAGAGGGUGACCGGCGACAUUGGGACUGAGAUAGGGCCAAGAAGCCAAGGGGAGGCAGCAGUGGGGAAUAUUGCACAAUGGGAGGAAGCCUGAUGCAGAAACGCGGCGUGCGGGAUGACGGCAUUCGGGUUGUAAACAGAUUUAGAAUGUGACGAAGCGUGAGUGACGGUAAUGGGUAAAGAAGCAACGGCUAACUACGUG
This 468-nucleotide ribosomal RNA is filed under the name uncultured bacterium. RNAcentral's name for it is "partial 16S ribosomal RNA". It matches the Rfam family "Bacterial small subunit ribosomal RNA", at positions 28 to 507 of the family's 1533-position model. The record is from RNAcentral.